RNAcentral lists this unclassified non-coding RNA (272 nucleotides) under plant metagenome. RNAcentral's name for it is "partial contains small subunit ribosomal RNA, internal transcribed spacer 1, and 5.8S ribosomal RNA". The record is from RNAcentral.
UUUCCGUAGGUGAACCUGCGGAAGGAUCAUUAAUGAGUUGUCAUGGGGUUCGAUGCUGGCAGCCAGUUUUUGGAUGCGUGUGCUUGCCCUAACAAUCAUCUUCUUCCAAACACCUGUGCACAUUUUUGAGGGAGUCUUGAGUUGGUUGCCGCUCUUGGGUGAUUUUCUCACAUUCCCUUAAAUCAUUAUACGCUAUUAACAAUGUUGAACGUGCUCUGUGCCGCAAGGCCAUUAAUAUAAUACAACUUUUAACAACGGAUCUCUUGGCUCUC